This 575-nucleotide ribosomal RNA is filed under the name Amycolatopsis sp. BvORHM085. Its description in RNAcentral is "bacterial SSU rRNA". It matches the Rfam family "Bacterial small subunit ribosomal RNA", at positions 102 to 691 of the family's 1533-position model. Lineage: Bacteria; Bacillati; Actinomycetota; Actinomycetes; Pseudonocardiales; Pseudonocardiaceae. The record is from RNAcentral.
ACGGGUGAGUAACACGUGGGUAAUCUGCCCUGCACUCUGGGAUAAGCCUUGGAAACGGGGUCUAAUACCGGAUAUCACCUCCUACCGCAUGGUGGGUGGUUGAAAGUUCUGGCGGUGCAGGAUGAACCCGCGGCCUAUCAGCUUGUUGGUGGGGUAAUGGCCUACCAAGGCGACGACGGGUAGCCGGCCUGAGAGGGUGACCGGCCACACUGGGACUGAGACACGGCCCAGACUCCUACGGGAGGCAGCAGUGGGGAAUAUUGCACAAUGGGCGAAAGCCUGAUGCAGCGACGCCGCGUGAGGGAUGACGGCCUUCGGGUUGUAAACCUCUUUCGCCAGGGACGAAGCGCAAGUGACGGUACCUGGAUAAGAAGCACCGGCUAACUACGUGCCAGCAGCCGCGGUAAUACGUAGGGUGCGAGCGUUGUCCGGAUUUAUUGGGCGUAAAGAGCUCGUAGGCGGUUUGUCGCGUCGGCCGUGAAAUCUCCACGCUUAACGUGGAGCGUGCGGUCGAUACGGGCAGACUUGAGUUCGGUAGGGGAGACUGGAAUUCCUGGUGUAGCGGUGAAAUGCGC